This 292-nucleotide ribosomal RNA is filed under the name uncultured bacterium. RNAcentral describes it as "partial 16S ribosomal RNA". It matches the Rfam family "Bacterial small subunit ribosomal RNA", at positions 505 to 796 of the family's 1533-position model. The record is from RNAcentral.
GUGCCAGCAGCCGCGGUAAAACGUAGGUGGCGAGCGUUAUCCGGAUUCAUUGGGCGUAAAGAGCUUGUAGGCGGUUGCGUAAGUUGGACGUGAAAACUCCGGGCUUAACUUGGAGAGGCCGUUCAAUACUGCGUGACUGGAGGAUGUCAGAGGGGAGUGGAAUUCCUGGUGUAGCAGUGAAAUGCGUAGAUAUCAGGAGGAACACCCGUGGCGAAGGCGGCUCCCUGGGACAUCCCUGACGCUGAGAAGCGAAAGCUAGGGGAGCAAACGGGAUUAGAUACCCCCGUAGUCC